RNAcentral lists this ribosomal RNA (398 nucleotides) under uncultured bacterium. RNAcentral's name for it is "bacterial SSU rRNA". It matches the Rfam family "Bacterial small subunit ribosomal RNA", at positions 362 to 758 of the family's 1533-position model. The record is from RNAcentral.
UAUUGGACAAUGGGCGAAAGCCUGAUCCAGCCAUGCCGCGUGUGUGAAGAAGGUUUUCGGAUUGUAAAGCACUUUAAGUCCCCCCGGAAGGGCAGUUACCUAAUACGUGAUUGUUUUGACGUUACCGACAGAAUAAGCACCGGCUAACUCUGUGCCAGCAGCCGCGGUAAUACGGAGGGUGCAAGCGUUAAUCGGAAUUACUGGGCGUAAAGCGCGCGUAGGUGGUUAGUUAAGUUGGAUGUGAAAUCCCCGGGCUCAACCUGGGAACUGCAUUCAAAACUGACUGACUAGAGUAUGGUAGAGGGUGGUGGAAUUUCCUGUGUAGCGGUGAAAUGGGUAGAUAUAGGAAGGAACACCAGGGCGAAGGGACCACCGGAGUAUACUACACGAGGGCGAAA